UUUUUCUGGGGUUCUUUAUGUGCUUGAGGCCUUCUGAUGGCUGACUUCUAUCACAAGAUACAAAACAGAAGAAAAACUAUUUCAGAGCAAGUGCAAGUAGUAUGAAGAUCCCAUACGUGUGCAAAUUUUUCUGAAGAGGCUCAGGUCCUUCCUUUCCUAAUCCCUCUCCUCCAUGGACAGCUGAGCUGUGUUUGUGCCUGACAGCAAGCAAAUCUGGCAACACAAAUAGCUGUGUUAGCCACAGCUAUUAUAAAGAAAAUUCUGCAAUGUAACCAUCUUGCAGCCAACAUCAAAUAACCCAGGAAAACAAAUGACACAUCUUUCUUGGGUGAUGCUUCUGAUGUUAUCAGUAGGAAAAGCCUUCAAAGAAAAUGAGCAUCAAGCCUGAAACAUUACAUAAUGCCGAGUUGAAAGACAAAGUGUUUUCUGGAAUUCUAAAUUUUUUUAAGCAGCUGCCUUUAAAUGAACACAGCCAUCACUGUUAUAAAAUAUUCAAAGCCUCAUACAUAUCAAACAGACAGAGUUACUAGGGCAAACAAUCUCAUGUAUCAGUUAAACAAACAUUUGGAAUUUUUCCUAAGCCCGCUCUAGGUCCUUAAAAUGCUUCUAGUUUUAAUAGAUUCUAUCUAGUAUCCAUUUGUUUUCUGUUUUUUUGUCUUUUUUGUAAGACAAUUUCCAACUUUGCAGGACCCUGCUGGCUCUCUGGCAGAACAGAUUGGCAUGCAGUCCUGGAAGCCUGAGAUUAAAGGACUUCUCCGUGUUAGGUCAUUAGCCAUUCCACUCACCGUACCAUAGCUCGUUUUCCCAUUCCUAAUUGAUCACUUCAUUGAUCAGACAUUAUGGAGAUGGCUUAGUAACCUAAGCUUUAGCUUUGAAAUGCAGUAGAGAUUGCAAUUACCUGAAAGUCUUCAAGGGUGCCUGCAAUUUUCAGACAGUUGGAGGCUCAGCUAAUCAAAGAUUCUGGCUAAUGGAAAGGAGAGAGAAGAGCUGUUUCAGCUGGGCUCCCUAAGGCCAAGAGAGAUCCAGAGAGAGCACACAGAUGCGCCUAUAAAAAUUUUCCGUGCCAAAGCGGGGUGCUAGUGCAGGUGUGGAGGAGGUGCAGCAUCCCCUGUUCUGAAGAUAGGUCAGAGUAACUCAGCGCUUGCUGAGCUGUCCCGGGAUUAGAGCCGUCAGGAGUUUGAAAUGGUGCUCAGAGGGCUGUUCUGCCUCUUGGAAUCAAAUGUUCUGGUUGUUCCCACGUGUACUGUCGGUAUUGCAGGGUCUUGAAAUGUAGAGGGCUAUAGGGGCAUUUGCAGUGUGGAAGGCUGAGGAGUGUAUGUGCUCGUGUGUAGAAACUGUCUGGAUCCUGUGUCUUUCCCUCUUGGAAUAUUUUCCAGGGCAAAAACUUUAAGGCAGUCUCAAACAAACUGAAUAUAAUAGCCAAUUGGGACUGAGGGAGUGACUGGGGCUGAGGUGACAGCACAGGCAUGCUGCCCUUGUAGUUAUUAUGAAUCUCUCUCACAGACACCUUUCUUUUCAGUUUUGGUAAGUGUGCCGUUAAAAACUGAGAUCUUUACUAUGCUCUCUGGUAUUAUAGCUCCUACCAAGUAACGUAUUCUUCACUAUCUGCUAAUUAUUCUCCUACUGCUUGUUAAUAUAUGUUAUGCUACGGGUCAUCAUCUACUCUGAAGGCUGGUUUUCAGUGGUGUGCACGUUGUGAUAUAGAGGAUAAGAGAUUUCUCUUUGAAGGCAGUUUAUAAAUCUUAUUGGGCUCCUUCAUGAUGAAAGGCACUAUAGAUAUAUAAGAGAUCAAAGCUGUGUAAAGAUCAGUCGUGUUUGUUUGCAUGAGCUUUCUCUUUCUGUUCCUUCUGAGGAUUUUGAGCUUCAAAGUUUCAGCUUUAAAGAAACUCAAAAGAACCCCACAAAAGAAAUCCUAACAACCCACCACAGUGCAGCUGGUUUGAGGUCAUGCCAGCCAAGUGCCAUACAAUUUUGACCCGGGCUCGUACCCUCUUCUUCAAUGCUCUUCUAUCUACCAGUGAUAGCUGGCUCAGAGAAAACUUGUGGUGUUUUUAAUGACAGCGAGGACCCAGAGCAGUAGGUUCUGGAAAGGAGGAAUGUUGCUUAACAGUAAAGGGGGAAAAGAAGUUUAACUCAAAACAUAAGUGUUUCUAUUGUGACUUUUCAGUCUGCUAGCAAUAUUAUUAUCAUUUGUGAGUAUAUAUUAGCAAUUGGCCUAAAAACAUAUGCAUUUAAUUAUAAUGUUUCUGGUAUGGUUUGCUUUUUUUUUUUGAUACACUUUACAUUGAAAUUCUGAAUUCUUAAACAUUUGAUUUAAGUGCAAAGUAUGCUGCUUUCAAUGUCUGUAGGAAUUGGUAGCAUAAAUGUAGUGCAUUCAUUGAAAAGAAAUGGCUGUGUGCCAUGUCCUUUGAUAUUGGGGUACUGUUUAGCAUAAAGUGGUCCGUGAUAUGUGAGCUUUUAUUUUUCAGCUGAACAACUGCAAUUUUUUUUUUUUUGCAACGUAGAGUGUUCUCAUAAAUGACAUCAAAAUAAACUCAUGACCC
Long non-coding RNA from Gallus gallus (chicken), 2543 nucleotides. NCBI's taxonomy places the organism in Eukaryota, Metazoa, Chordata, Aves, Galliformes, Phasianidae. The record is from Ensembl.